Sinocyclocheilus grahami is the source of this 119-nucleotide ribosomal RNA. NCBI's taxonomy places the organism in Eukaryota, Metazoa, Chordata, Actinopteri, Cypriniformes, Cyprinidae. The record is from Ensembl.
CCCAGAGAAGCCAUAUCACCCUGCAGCUCAAGACUGGUCUCCCACUGAAGCUAAGCAGGGUUGAGCCUGGUCAGUACCUGGAUGGGAGACCUCCUGGGAAAACUAGGUUGAUGCUGGAA